AGCGAACGUUAGCGGCGCGCCUAACACAUGCAAGUCGCACGAGAAACGGAGCAAUCCGCGGUACAGUGGCGCACGGGUGAGUAACACGUGGAUGACCUUCCCUGGAGUGGUGGAUAACCUGCCGAAAGGCGGGCUAAUACAGCAUGGGACCACGACGCUUUGGCGAUGUGGUGAAAGCGGGCCUCUAUAUAUAAGCUCGCGCUCCGGGACGGGUCCGCGUCCCAUCAGCUAGUUGGUGAGGUAACGGCUCACCAAGGCGAACGACGGGUAGGCUGGUCUGAGAGGAUGGCCAGCCACACUGGAACUGAGACACGGUCCAGACUCCUACGGGAGGGCAGCAGUGGGGAAGUCUUGCGCAAUGGGCGGAAAGACCUGACGCAGCGACGCCGCGU
RNAcentral lists this ribosomal RNA (392 nucleotides) under uncultured bacterium. RNAcentral describes it as "bacterial SSU rRNA". It matches the Rfam family "Bacterial small subunit ribosomal RNA", at positions 30 to 402 of the family's 1533-position model. The record is from RNAcentral.